AAAUGUAUAUAGAAACAUUCAGCAAUACCCCGAGGCAACAAAAGUUCCUGGUGUAUUGAUUGUGAGAGUAGAUUCAGCUAUAUACUUCUCAAACUCUAACUACAUAAAGGAAAGGUAGGACACUUGUCUUACUUUUAAUCUGAAGUUUUUUAUAUUGACAAGAAAUAGCUAGGAACUUAACAAACUAACUUGUUAUUCAGGAUAUUGAGAUGGUUAACGGAUGAGGAAGAACAACUAAAAGCAGCUGGCCUUCCUAAAAUUCAAUUCCUGAUUGUUGAGAUGUCACGUAAGUAGAGUUUACCUUAAUUUGUCGCUGAAAUUAAGAGCAUGUUAUCCUACUUAGCGACUCCCCGUGUUUCUUCUUUUCUACUUGCAGCUGUUACUGACAUUGACACCAGUGGCAUCCAUGCCUUGGAAGAGUUGCUCAGAAGCCUAAAAAAGAGAGGUGUUCAGGUAAUGAUCUUAAUUAACUUCAUAAUGUAGAAAAUGUUUGAUCGCGUUUAGAGCUGUCAAUAUGGGUCGGGCCGGGCUAGCCCAGCCCAACCCACGUAGGCUUUAGCAAUUGACGGGCUGGGCUGCGCUAGCCCACCAUUUUGAUGAGCCUUAAAAUGGUCAGCCCACCCCAGCCUUAUGUGGGCCGCGGGCCCCACGGGCCGGCCCAUCAUUUUUAAAAAUAUAAUUUUAUAUUUUUUCUUUAAGUUCUGACCUAAAAAAAUAAUAAAUAUUUAAAAGUUGAAAAAUAUCUUAUUGGAAAAAAUUCGCAAAACUUAAUAACUUUUUAUAUUAUUCCACUAUAUCACAAUAAAUACUAAAAAAAGUAAAAGACAUGACUAUAUUUCAUUCACUAAUAGUCAAAACUUAAAACAAACUAUUCAAGAGAACGUUCACGAUGCUUAUGAGAUAUGCAACAAAUCAUCUUCAUCAAACACAUUUGAAUCCGUUUGUGACAAGGUUAUCUUCACUUUCAUCUACAAUUCAUACGCAAUAUUAAUUAGUUAAAUAUUAAAAAUAACUAAAGUUUAAAGAUUAAUAAUAUUUAGAUUCACAUAAAAAAAUAUUACCAGUUUGAGUUCGGGAAAACCUGUGCAGCCAAUUUCGAGCAAUAACAAGUGUUUGGACAUUUUCAUAAUAAAUGCAACUUCUGUACUUUGUAAGAACAUGCCACUAAUGCUAAAUGUUGAUUCCGAUGGUAUAAUGGUAAUAAGAUGCUAAGUACAUCAUGCACCAUCAUUGAAAGAUCAAGAUAAUUUCUAGAAUGGUCCUUCCAAUACAUGACAACAUCAUCUCUUGAAACUUCUCAAGAUCAAGUUUUGGUUCCUCUUAGUAAAGAUCCAAUUCUGACUUUCCAUCUCUAAAGACAGUAUACUUUUUAUUUUUUAUAUAUUUUAAAUAAAUAUUUUAUUAGGCCCACGGGCCGGGCAGGCCCAGCCUCAGUCAAGUCUCACGGGCCAUAGACUUACUCGGGCCGGGCUUAAAAGCCUCGUUUUUAAACGGGCUCCAAAAAUUCUAGCCCAGUCUUGCUAAAUCAUGGGCUGUGCUUGGCGCUCUAAUCGCGUUCUAGCAUAAUGGCUAUUUGACUAAAUUACUCUUUAUCUUUUCCUUAAACCAGUAAUUAAUCACUAUAAGCCUUUUUGGAGUAGUGAGGUCAAAACCAACAAGUUAAUGCCUUCUUGGAUUUUCAAAAUGACAACUUGGAAUUUUUUUUUGGUAAAUCGACAGAUAAGAGGACCGUAGGGAGUAGUAUUUUAACCUCAACAACUACAAUUUUGUGUCUAAAAACCUUACCUUGUUCAUUUCUUGAAUAGCUUGUUCUCUCGAACCCGGGAAGAGUGGUGAUUGAC
This 1841-nucleotide long non-coding RNA is filed under the name Nicotiana tabacum (common tobacco). Its description in RNAcentral is "long non-coding RNA (NTAB_LNC006944)". The record is from RNAcentral. Lineage: Eukaryota; Viridiplantae; Streptophyta; Magnoliopsida; Solanales; Solanaceae.